AGUGAACGCUGGCGGUAGGCCUAACACAUGCAAGUCGAACGGCAGCACAGUAAGAGCUUGCUCUUACGGGUGGCGAGUGGCGGACGGGGGGGGAAUACAGCGGAAUCUACUUUUUCGUGGGGGAUAACGUAGGGAAACUUACGCUAAUACCGCAUACGACCUACGGGUGAAAGCAGGGGAUCUUCGGACCUUGCGCGAUUGAAUGAGCCGAUGUCGGUGUAGCUAGUUGGCGGGGUAAAGGCCCACCAAGGCGACGGUGCGUAGCUGGUCUGAGAGGAUGGUCAGCCACACUGGAACGGAGACACGGCCCAGACUCCUACGGGAGGCAGCAGUGGGGAAUAUUGGACAAUGGGCGCAAGCCUGAUCCAGCCAUACCGCGUGGGUGAAGAAGGCCUUCGGGUUGUAAAGCCCUUUUGUUGGGAAAGAAAAGCAGCAGGUUAAUACCCCGCUGUUCUGACGGUACCCAAAGAAUAAGCACCGGCUAACUUCGUG
Molecule: ribosomal RNA, 492 nt
Filed under: uncultured bacterium
Lineage: Bacteria
Description: partial 16S ribosomal RNA
Rfam family: Bacterial small subunit ribosomal RNA
Source: RNAcentral